Molecule: non-coding RNA, 73 nt
Organism: Ameiurus melas (black bullhead)
Lineage: Eukaryota; Metazoa; Chordata; Actinopteri; Siluriformes; Ictaluridae
Source: the annotation of a GenBank genome assembly
GGCACAGAGGUUUAGUGGUUAGUACAUUUGACUCACACCUCCAGGGUUGAGGGUUCGAUUCCCACCUCUACCC